UAAGCAUAUAACUAAGCGGAGGAAAAGAAACUAACCAGGAUUCCCUCAGUAACGGCGAGUGAAGUGGGAAGAGCUCAUGUUUGAAAUCCAGCUCCCCGCGGGGCUGGAGUUGUAACCUAGAGGAGCGUGAUCGCCUGCCGGCAGGGCCGCGGCCAAGUCCGAUUUGAAAAGGGUACCGAGGAGGGUGGCAGUCCCGUUCGUGCCGCAGUCCCGCCGGCGAUGUGGCCCGCUUCCAACGAGUCGAGUUGCUUGGGAUUGCAGCUCAAAGUGGGUGGUAAACUCCAUCCAAAGCUAAACACGGGUGGGAGACCGAUAGCGAACAAGUACCGUGAGGGAAAGAUGCAAAGAACUUUGAAAAGAGAGUCAAAGAGUGCCUGAAAUUGCUGAGAGGGAAGCGAAGGAAAGUAGUGUCAGUCGAGGGGACCUCGCACACUUGGGGAGCGACGUUCCGCGUCGUUCCCCAGGUUAUGUCCCCCGCGGUGUCAGGGGCGGGUGCGUUGCCGGAGGCGGCGGCCCAGGGUAUAGGUUCUCCGAGGUAAGAGCCGGAGGAAUGCCGCAACUGGGAUCCGCGUCCUGGUCGCGGCCGUCCCUGACGAAAUGUUUUUCUUUACCCCGUCUUGAAACACGGACCAAGGAGUCUAACAUGCCCGCGAGUACAGGGGUGGCUGAGACCCCCGUGCGCAGUGAAAGUGAACGCAGGUGGCAGGGCGGGAGCCUUCUCGGUCUCCGGCCCGCACCAUCGACCGACCGCGGCACCAAGGGGUCGAGGUUUGAGUGUGAGCGUGUAUGUUGGGACCCGAAAGAUGGUGAACUAUGCCUGAGUAGGGCGAAGCCAGGGGAAACUCUGGUGGAGGCUCGUAGCGAUUCUGACGUGCAAAUCGAUCGUGGGAUUUGGGUAUAGGGGCGAAAGACUAAUCGAACCAUCUAGUAGCUGGUUCCCUCCGAAAUUUCCCUCAGGAUAGCUGCAACCAGUUUGUGACCAGUUUUAUCAGGUAAAGCGAAUGAUUAGAGGCUGCGGGGGAGUAACUCCCUCGCCCUAUUCUCAAACUUUAAAUGGGUAAGCCACCGGGGUCGCUUAAUUGGACUCGAGGUUUGGGUUGAAUGAUGGUUGUUAGUGGGCCAGUCCGGGUAAGCUGGACUGGCGAUGCGGGAUGAACCGAACGCCUAGUUAAAGCGCCUCACUGCCCGCUCACCUAGACCCCACAAAAGGUGUUGGUUCAUUUUGACAGCAGGACGGUGGCCAUGGAAGUCGGAACCCGCUAAGGAGUGUGUACAAC
Molecule: ribosomal RNA, 1277 nt
Filed under: Lobophora crassa 4 CWV-2015
Lineage: Eukaryota; Phaeophyceae; Dictyotales; Dictyotaceae
Description: LSU rRNA
Rfam family: Eukaryotic large subunit ribosomal RNA
Source: RNAcentral